GAAAGAAUAAUUUACUCAUCUUCAUCGCCCAAAUGCCACCACUUGCCAUGAUCAUUAUCAUCCCGACUUUGCUUUUCCUUCUUCCAUAUCCUGUCCUGUUUGUUCCCAUGGAUGCUUUGCCUUCUCCUGCACAUCUCAUUCAGUUGAGUUGGGUUCCUCUGGAUUCCUCAGAACAGAGUAAGAGACAACUACAUUCAUCAGGUCUUUAGAAAAAUCCUGGCACCCAUUGGGAUCACAUGAGGUGUAAUCUGCAGGGUCAGUAGCUUCGGGAGGACUUGUAGACCAUCUUCUUUACAAGUGAAACAUAUUCCUUAUUAUCCCUUGAGUCGUUGGGUUCAUAGAGGGCGGAGCCAAAUCAAGCAAUGGUGAAAAGAUCUGUCGAGAUAAAGGUGCACAGCGGCAGUCAUUUAGGAGUUAAUUUUCUAAUGAGAAGGGGCAGACAUAACCUGUUUCAGGUGAAAAGGAGAAAUUAAAUUGUGUUUUUUUGAUCUUAGAGGCUGCCUAAUUGACACUCUCAUCAGUCACCAAUAAAAGGGAAGGCGUGGCAGAAGACUCGAGGAUGUCAGAAAGAAGCACAACCUGAGUAGAGGUGAGGCAGAGACCAGGGUUGCCCAAGGUCAUGGCAAGAGACGAGGUGGAGGGAGCCCUCCCUUUCUGACUGCUGGCUCAGUGGUCAGUCCACGCUGACCAAAAGAGGCUGCUUGUACUAUGCAAGUAAAAUAUGAACGCCCAGGUUGUUGGGGAGCAAGAAGACACUCCGAAUACGAGGUGGAAAGGGGGAGCCGGGAGCAGGAGAAACCGGACUUCCCUUUUAUGUGUUGCUUCAUGCCUCUGCUGGUGAACAGAAGGAGGAGAGAGAAAUGGCUGACUCCAAACCCACAGUUCCUGCCCUGGAGGUUUGUUUUGAUGUCUGAGGCGAAGAGAUCUUCCCAGGAGGAGGCCGAGGGAACACUCAGGCGUCCUUUCUCACUUGAGAUCUUCAACACCACCAAGUUGAGAGCUGGAAGGUGCGAGGGAAUUGCAACCAAACUCUUCUGUUCACGUUGUGGGAGAGGGGACCCGUGUCCCAGCUGUGUGAUGACCAUGACAGGAAAGUGAUGGGGAAUGGACUCCUUGAUCACCGCUCCACCAACCUCACUUGCCUGCAGCCUCGGAUUUUUCUGUUUCUCAGGAGCAAAAAGACUCAAAGUUGUGACAACAAAGACCUUUUUCUGGAGUGGUUAUUCUGUUGCUAAGUCAUGUCCGACUCUUUGCGACCCCGUAAACUGCAGCACACCAGGCUCCCCUGUCCUGCACUAUCUCCCAGAGCUAGCUCACACUCAUGUCCAUUGAGUCAGUGAU
This 1341-nucleotide long non-coding RNA is filed under the name Bos indicus x Bos taurus (hybrid cattle). Its description in RNAcentral is "lncRNA (ENSBIXG00005014744.1)". The record is from RNAcentral. Lineage: Eukaryota; Metazoa; Chordata; Mammalia; Artiodactyla; Bovidae.